CAAAAACCAAUCGGUUAUACUUCGGUGUAGCCGUUAAAUUGGUGAAUUCUGAGUAACUACAGCGAACCGCAUGAUCUCGUAUCGGCGGUCUGUCGGUCAAGCAACUGCCUUAUCAGCUUGUUGUUAGGUUAUAUGCCUAACAAGGCGUCAACGGGUAACGAACGAUUGGGGUCUGACAUCGGAGAGGGAGCCUGAGAAACGGCUACCACAUCUAAGGAAGGCAGCAGGCGCGCAAAUUACCCACUCCCGGCACGGGGAGGUAGUGACGAGAAAUAACGAUGCGGGGCUCAUACGAGUACUCGUAAUCGGAAUGAGAACAGUUUAAAUCCUUUAACGAGGAACUAUUGGAGGGCAAGUCUGGUGCCAGCAGCCGCGGUAAUUCCAGCUCCAAUAGCGUAUAUUAAAGUUGUUGCAGUUAAAAAGCUCGUAGUUGGAUUUGUGGGUGGAUUUGUUGGCCCGACGCUUUGCGUGGGUGCCGUACAGGUCCGUCCAUCCUUGGGUGGAAUCUGCGUGGCAUUAAGUUGUCGUGCAGGGGAUGCCCAUCUUUUACUGUGAAAAAAUUAGAGUGUUCAAAGC
Molecule: ribosomal RNA, 576 nt
Filed under: uncultured eukaryote
Lineage: Eukaryota
Description: bacterial SSU rRNA
Rfam family: Eukaryotic small subunit ribosomal RNA
Source: RNAcentral